CGGGUGAGUAACGCGUGGGUAACCUACCUUAUACAGGGGGAUAACAGUCAGAAGUGGCUGCUAAUACCGCAUAAGCGCACAGAGCUGCAUGGCUCAGUGUGAAAAACUCCGGUGGUAUAAGAUGGACCCGCGUUGGAUUAGCUGGUUGGUGGGGUAACGGCCCACCAAGGCGACGAUCCAUAGCCGGCCUGAGAGGGUGAACGGCCACAUUGGGACUGAGACACGGCCCAG
This 231-nucleotide ribosomal RNA is filed under the name uncultured bacterium. RNAcentral's name for it is "partial 16S ribosomal RNA". It matches the Rfam family "Bacterial small subunit ribosomal RNA", at positions 103 to 334 of the family's 1533-position model. The record is from RNAcentral.